CACUCCUACGGGAGGCAGCAGUGGGGGAAUAUUGCACAAGUCGGGGGAAACCCUGAUGCAGCCAUGCCGCGUGUGUGAAGAAGGCCGUCGGGUUGUAAAGCACUUUCAGUAGGGAGGAAGGUAGUGUAGUUAACACCUGCACUAUUGACGUUACCUACAGAAGAAGCACCGGACUAACUCCGUGCCAGCACGCCGACGGUAAUACGGGAGGGUGCGAGCGUUAAUCGGAAUUACGUGGGACGUAAAGCGCAUGCAGGCGGCCUGUUAAAGUCAGAUGUAGAAACGGCCCCGGGGACUUAACCCUACGGAAUUGCUAUUUAGAAACUGGCAGGCUAGAGUCUUGUAGAGGGGGUAGAAUUUCAGGUGUAGCGGUGAAAAUGCGUAGAGAUCUGAAGGAAUACCAGUGGCGAAGGCGGCCCCCUGGACAAAGACUGACGCUCAGAUGCGAAAGCGUGGGGAGCAAACAGGAUUAGAUACCCUGGUAG
This 485-nucleotide ribosomal RNA is filed under the name uncultured bacterium. RNAcentral's name for it is "bacterial SSU rRNA". It matches the Rfam family "Bacterial small subunit ribosomal RNA", at positions 334 to 793 of the family's 1533-position model. The record is from RNAcentral.